RNAcentral lists this ribosomal RNA (465 nucleotides) under Vreelandella stevensii. Its description in RNAcentral is "partial 16S ribosomal RNA". It matches the Rfam family "Bacterial small subunit ribosomal RNA", at positions 338 to 795 of the family's 1533-position model. Lineage: Bacteria; Pseudomonadati; Pseudomonadota; Gammaproteobacteria; Oceanospirillales; Halomonadaceae. The record is from RNAcentral.
CCUACGGGAGGCAGCAGUGGGGAAUAUUGGACAAUGGGGGGAACCCUGAUCCAGCCAUGCCGCGUGUGUGAAGAAGGCCCUCGGGUUGUAAAGCACUUUCAGUGAGGAAGAACGCCUGGUGGUUAAUACCCAUCAGGAAAGACAUCACUCACAGAAGAAGCACCGGCUAACUCCGUGCCAGCAGCCGCGGCAAUACGGAGGGUGCGAGCGUUAAUCGGAAUUACUGGGCGUAAAGCGCGCGUAGGUGGCUUGAUAAGCCGGUUGUGAAAGCCCCGGGCUCAACCUGGGAACGGCAUCCGGAACUGUCAAGCUAGAGUGCAGGAGAGGAAGGUAGAAUUCCCGGUGUAGCGGUGAAAUGCGUAGAGAUCGGGAGGAAUACCAGUGGCGAAGGCGGCCUUCUGGACUGACACUGACACUGAGGUGCGAAAGCGUGGGUAGCAAACAGGAUUAGAUACCCGGGUAGUC